AACGAGGCCGACCUGCGGCUGAGUUACCUGCGGAGGGAUCAUUACCAGGAAACGGUGCCUUCGGGUGCCGGUUCUCAAACCUCUGUAUACCAACCUUUCAGUUGCCUCCGGCGGCCCUGGGCCGGCGCGGCGCGUCCCCCUCUCCCCCCGUUCGCGGGAGGCUUGGGGGCCGCCCCCCCGCGCCGGACCACCCGCCGGGCGGUCAGAUACAAAACCUUUUGUUGAGAUGGCAUCGUCUAA
This 240-nucleotide unclassified non-coding RNA is filed under the name soil metagenome. RNAcentral's name for it is "partial contains 5.8S ribosomal RNA, internal transcribed spacer 2, and large subunit ribosomal RNA". The record is from RNAcentral.